RNAcentral lists this long non-coding RNA (1944 nucleotides) under Prunus dulcis (almond). RNAcentral describes it as "sRNA ncRNA". The record is from RNAcentral. Lineage: Eukaryota; Viridiplantae; Streptophyta; Magnoliopsida; Rosales; Rosaceae.
CUAAAUUGAAAUAGCGAAUCUGGAUAUCUCUUGUUCGCGACUUUGGCUCUCUCUCCUUCACUACUCCGCAUCUCCUUCACACAAAGCCAAGAUUCUGAUUCAUGAGCUCUAUGCUUUGUUCUUCGUCUCAGAGCUUCGAUUUUCAAGAUUUCUAGUUCUAUUUCUUGUUUCUUACUCUUCCAAUCGUUCGAAUCGAAGUAGUGAUAUAUAUUUAUUUUUCAUUUUUUUGCAGUUGAAUCAGACCUAGUUUUUAUUCUUUGUUUGAGAUACACAAAAUAAUUUGUUUGUGAUUUGUGCAAGUUUAGAGUUUCUAUUUGCUUUCAAUAUAGGAUUCUGAUUUUGAAUUGCCAUUAGUUAAUUUUUAUCUUUAUGGAUUUGAAAUUUAUAUUUAUUUUGGAUGGCUUUUUUUCUUCUUUAUUUUUUUCCGAAUUAAUCUAGAUAUGAUUUCAAGAUGUAAAUAACGUUCUAAUUAGGUUUUGGUUUUGAUUUGUGCAGGUUGAAGUUUCGUUCUCUGUCCCAUAUUUGCAAUUGUGUGAUUGGUGAGAUUUUUGCUUGAGGACGUUUAUUCUUAUUGGAUUUUCAGUUGAGCUGAGGUAUACACGUUAAGCUUCAAUAAUCAAUUUAUCUUUUGUUUCUAUUUAAUGUUAUUAAUCUCGUAUUUUAUAUCCGAAUUUGGUUCUGUGAUGUGUACUGCUUGUUGCCUCAGAAAAAAGUUUGCUAGUAUCUUAUAUGAGAAUGAUUGAGGAGAAAAGUGUCCUAGUAUCUUUUUGAUGAUUUUGGGUCAAGUUGGGACCUUUGGGGAUUUGAUCGAGGAGAAGGGUUGUUCUUCAUUCAUUGAUUGUUUUGUUUAGUAGUGCAAUUCUUCCACUACCCAUGUCAUUAUUAUAGGCUUUGUUUGUAAUUGUUUUUCAUUUCUUUCUUCUGUUUCUUUUUAAUUUCUAGGGUUUAAUUUAUUUUUAAUUUUUGUUAAGUUCAAUCUUCACACACAUUGAAGAAACUUGUCUUCAAUCUCUAGUUUCUAGUUUAUUUUCCUAUUAUUGGGAGUUUGAUGGGUAUCUGCAGUGCUUGGUUUAUAUGCUUUUGCUAUUAUUAUUGUUUUUCGUUAGAUCAAAGCUCUGGUUAUUGUUAAUUUGUAUGCUUUUGCUUUGGUUUGUUGUCUUGUGCAUGGAGUUUUGUUUUCUAUUUCUUUGGUUGAUUUUGUCUUGGUGACUUGUGCUGUCAUCCAAAGUUGGAAGUCCUAUUUUUGCUAGCAGUUUUAGAGGAUAGAGAUUGACAGUUUUUUAGGUGACCCCUUUCUCAAUAGUUUAGGACUGAGAUUGGCCAACACAUUGACUACAUAUCUUGCAUGUGUUUAUGUUUUAAAUGGUUUUCUAUAGUAAAAUUAGCUUAGUUUAUGAUUGAUUGGCAGCCUUUCGUCUCUCUCAUUCAAUUGGGUCAGCCAUUUGGCACCUGAUGUGAUAGUGGGAAGGAUUGGCUUUGUGUGGUUAAAUGCAAUAAUUCUUUUCUUUUCUUUGUUUGGCUAAUGUGAACUGUGUUCUCACAUCUUCUUACUUUUUUUUCUUUUGCAGGCCCCUUCUUCUGUCCUUUCGUGGCCAUAGGCCGUGCGUAGGCAAAACUAGCAGGCGCUAUGGACGUCCUACAAGAAGCAUUGCUUUAUGUGUUUAGUUCAAUCCAAUAGGAUUUUUUAUGUAACUAGUUAAGCUGUAGUAUGGUCAUUGACUUGAGGACCUGGCCUAGCUAAAUUUGAUGCAUCUAUCUUUCACAAAUGAUGGAUUGAUGAGAUUGACUUCAUUUUGGAAACACCACAAAAUGGUAUAACAUAUUGCGAGCAUUAAAGCCAGAUCGUUCAUGGUUGUGGGCUUCUUAGUUUCAUUUUGAAAUUGUGGAUGUUUAUUUGUAUGUAUUAAUGGUAGAAUUGUGUGCAGUGAACUGAACAACUUUGGC